CAAAACUUGGACUCAUUUUGCAAUGUCACAAGUCCAAUCAAUCUCAAAUCUCGAAAAGAUGGUGGAUCAACUAUCCUCUUUAAAUCCAAACCUUAGCAAUAACUGUUGAAAAAGGAAAAUUCCCAACUCAGUUGGUACCUAAUUUUAAAGGAAGUACAUGAAGUUGGUACAAAUUCACUCUAGUAGUAUGAAAAGGUUAAAGCCAUCGUGACCUUAUGAAAA
RNAcentral lists this long non-coding RNA (222 nucleotides) under Citrus maxima (pomelo). RNAcentral's name for it is "long non-coding RNA (CMAX_LNC003061)". The record is from RNAcentral. Lineage: Eukaryota; Viridiplantae; Streptophyta; Magnoliopsida; Sapindales; Rutaceae.